UGUCUUGUCAUGCUGUAUGUUUGCAGUGAAACCCCGGGCAGUGCUGCUGUGCUGCUCCUGUCUCUCCAGCACAGGCACGUGAAGAUGGCUGGAGUUUUUAUUGUGUUCACGGCAUUGCUGCUGUGUCUCCCAGAUUUCUCGGACGGUAUCAAGAUUGUCCAGUCCCCUCCUUCACUGUUCGAGAGUCCUGGACACUCUGCUGGACUCCAGUGCUAUCACGGUGAUACCAACUAUAACCGCAUGUACUGGUACCAGCAAACAAGGAAAGGAGCUUUGGAUCUGAUUGGGUAUGAGUAUGUCACAAUAAGCCAUGAAGACAAGUUUAAAGAAAGAUUCCAAAUGUCUGGGAAAGCAACAGAGAAGGGCUUUUUAACCAUUUCCAAUAUAACAGCUGAAGACAGUGCUGUGUACUUCUGUGCAGCCAGCAAACACAGUGCUGCAGAUCACCUCUCUCCUCUACAAUAACCCUGCCUAGCCACAGCCUCCCCUGCGCUUACAUGAGAACACGUCAUCUCACCACCUGCUUCAACUCA
This is a non-coding RNA of Polyodon spathula (Mississippi paddlefish), 533 nucleotides long. The record is from the annotation of a RefSeq genome assembly. NCBI's taxonomy places the organism in Eukaryota, Metazoa, Chordata, Actinopteri, Acipenseriformes, Polyodontidae.